Molecule: long non-coding RNA, 1244 nt
Organism: Bactrocera oleae (olive fruit fly)
Lineage: Eukaryota; Metazoa; Arthropoda; Insecta; Diptera; Tephritidae
Source: RefSeq, a predicted model, not a curated record
UUUGACACCAUAUGCAGUGUAUUAGAUUUAUAGGUACGGCCAAGUAAAGGUACAUGCUCUUCUAAAAUAGAAUAAUAACAUAAAAUAUAAAUAAAUAAAUAUAAGGCAUGAUAAAAUCAUAUGGUAUAAAUUAAAAUAUAUUCGGAUGCAUGUGCAUUUAAAUCAUAUUAUUUAUGUAUGUGCAUACGUAGAUUUGUAUUUCUGGAAUAUCAAAGAGAACACUGGAGCAAAAUCAAAUACUCUCUCUCAUAUGAAUAUGCUUUAAUAUUGAUAUAUUAUAUAUGUACGUAUAAUUUCAUCUCAAUGUAUUAUAUAUGCAAACAUAAAUAUGUAUGUGUGUAUGGGAAAUGUAUAAAACCUAAUUACUAUUGAUAUUUACAUUUACAAAUCAAGCCAACCGUAUUAAAAAAGCACGUUUUGCGCAAAAAUAAAAAUGAGUAUGAUUCUCCUCUAAAACAAACGAGAAUUAUAAGAACCCACUGAUUUUUUGAAAGCUUUAAAUUGUACAUAUAUCUAAAUUUCUCGAGCCAAAGGUAUCUGAAGCCAAUUAUUUUUAGGUUUGCUUUUUAACGCGUUGGCACAAGGUCAAAAAAACGAAUAUUUCAUUUACUUUGAUGUUUCAGUUAGCAUUUUGACAAUCUGCAUAAGAGAAAAUAUACAUACUUGUAUAUAAAGCUUCAUAUGGCAAUCACAAAAACAAAACAAAAUACACAUAAACCAAAUACAUUUACAUAUGACUAUUCUAUCUUAUUUCUUACGUUAAAUUGGUUAGAGUUAUAGUUUUUACAGCCUCUGAUUUUUACACAUGCAUCGACAAUUCUGCGUCAUACUCUUUAUCUCUCUUUAUGGUGACAUAGUAUAUAUUUACGAAUCUUUGUUAUUCAUGUAUAUUUGUACUUGCACAUAUUUUUCCUUGUCUGAGGUUUUCUUAUUAUAUUUGAGUUGAAAAAGAGCAAGUAAGAAAGACAGGUGCAACCGAACAUUUCAUACUCUCGCAAGGAUGACAGCCGGGAAAAUACUUUCAGUUGUUGGCAAAACGUUAUAUUAAACAAAUAUAUGUAUCUGACAUAAACUUAACCAAAGAGGCUAAAUUGAAUAUCUUCAGUUAAUGUGCAAAACGCCAAACAGAUUAGCGAUAUGAGAUUAAGACCAAAAUCUAGACCAACAAACCAAAAGAUCAUUCAUGUUCAGCGCUAAACUAUAUUAAUGGAAUAAAGAAGAUUAUUAUAUGUAGUAUAAUAUAA